GAUGAACGCUGGCGGCGUGCUUAACACAUGCAAGUCGAACGAAGCACUUUAUUUGAUUUCCUUCGGGACUGAUUAUUUUGUGACUGAGUGGCGGACGGGUGAGUAACGCGUGGGUAACCUGCCUUGUACAGGGGGAUAACAGUUGGAAACGGCUGCUAAUACCGCAUAAGCGCACAGCAUCGCAUGAUGCAGUGUGAAAAACUCCGGUGGUAUAAGAUGGACCCGCGUUGGAUUAGCUAGUUGGUGAGGUAACGGCCCGCCAAGGCGACGAUCCAUAGCCGACCUGAGAGUGUGACCGGCCACAUUGGGACUGAGACACGGCCCAAACUCCUACGGGAGGCAGCAGUGGGGAAUAUUGCACAAUGGGCGAAAGCCUGAUGCAGCGACGCCGCGUGAGCGAAGAAGUAUUUCGGUAUGUAAAGCUCUAUCAGCAGGGAAGAUAAUGACGGUACCUGACUAAGAAGCACCGGCUAAAUACGUG
RNAcentral lists this ribosomal RNA (481 nucleotides) under uncultured bacterium. RNAcentral describes it as "partial 16S ribosomal RNA". It matches the Rfam family "Bacterial small subunit ribosomal RNA", at positions 28 to 507 of the family's 1533-position model. The record is from RNAcentral.